UAUUCAGGACUGCAAACCGAGCAGCAUCACUGACUUUCAGCUUGUUGUGUUUGUGGAUAUAUGACUGACUUUAAUUAUCCAUAAAAUCAUCACAUUCUCUGUAAGAUUAAGGUCGAAUGUUGAACGGCGAAUAUUUUAAAGUACAGGCUUUAAGUUAGUACAAACAUCACUAAUGUCACAUAACUUUGCCGAAAUGUGGUCAACAGUAAUGUUUUAAUGUUCUUCAUUAUUCAACAUUUGCACAUAAAUAAGUGACAUAAUAUUCAGUACUUACUUUUAAAAGUUUACUCUUCCGCCGUUUUUUUUCGGCAAAAUUAUCCACACCCACCGCCGCGCUAUGAAGUCUGGGAUAUGUUGGGCGAUGAAGGCUUCACAGACCCAUCCUUGAAAUUCAGGGAAAUUAAGAACGCAUUUGAGGCUGCAUUUCGAGCAGCCUUUGAAUUGGGACAGCCCCACUGUCGCUGUGACGUAAUCGGCUUCAGUACAUCCAAGAAAGUCUCCUAAAGAGGAUUCAGCUGCGGGAUCACAGUGUCACCAGUGCGGAGCGUGCUCAGGAAUGGCAGCAGGCAGGUGUGAGCGCAAUCUGCACGCACAGUUAUGAGAAGACUUUUGGAAGAUGGCCUGGUGUCAAGAACGGCAGCAACGAAGCCACUUCUCUUUCUGACGGACGAAAGCUAAACCAGUUCCACAACACUGAAGUUGCAGCAUUUUUACAAACCAGUUCUGGACCAACAUGGAGCGAGAAGUCAGUGCUCUCAGGAGGCCGACAAACCUCACAGAAGAAAGGGAGAGAAAACAUACACCUGUGACGAGUGUGGGAAGGAGUUUAAUGUGAGGUCCAAACUAAAACAUCAUCAGGUCAUCCACACUGGAGAGAGACCGUUCAGCUGUGACUUUUGUGGAAAGUCUUUUUCCUUGAAGAGUUCCCUAAAAAGACACCAACUCAUCCACAGUGGAGUUAAAGCGUACAGCUGUGAUCAGUGUGGCAGAGCUUUUACUCACAGUAGCCACUUACAGAGUCAUCUAGUUACCCACUCUGGAAUUAAGGCAUACAGCUGUGACGAGUGUGGGAAGGAUUUUACUGGGAAGGAUGAACUAAAACAGCAUCAGGUCAUCCACACUGGAGAGAGACCGUUCAGCUGUGACUUGUGUGGAAAGUCUUUUUCCUGGAAGGAUUCCCUAAAACAACACAAACUCAUCCACAGUGGAAUUAAAGCGUACAGCUGUGAUCAGUGUGGCAGAGCUUUUACUCACAGUAGCCACUUACAGAGGCAUCUAGUUACCCACUCUGGAAUUAAGGCAUACAGCUGUGACAUCUGUGGAAAAACUUUCAGCCGGAUAGACAGCCAAAAUAGACACCUACGCAUUCACACCAGACAUGAUGUGUACUGCUGUGAACAGUGUGGCAAAGAGUUUACAACAGACACACAGUUGCAACAACACAUGUUUACCCACACUGAGGGACGACCUUAUAAAUGUGACCUGUGUGAGAAGACUUUUAAAUCUCCACGUCACCUGAGACGACACCAACAGAUCCACACCAGAAAGAGACUCUACAAGUGCAGUUACUGUGAGAAGCAGAGCGACACAGAUGGAUCCAGUUCUCAACCCUGUCAUCACUGUGGUGGUGGGAAAGACUUUCGUUGUGACCUCUGUGGAAAAACUUUCAGUCAGCAAAAGAACCUAAAAAUACAUCAACGUAGACACACUGGAGACAAACUGAAAUCCUGCAAAGAAUGUGGGAGAAGCUUCACCACAUCAAGUAGAUUAAAACGCCAUGAACUGAUUCACAGUGGGGUUAAAAAGCACCUCUGUGAUCAGUGUGGGUCAUCCUUCACCACUGCAAGGGAGCUUAAAACACACAAACGAGUCCACACAGGAGAGAAA
Long non-coding RNA from Oreochromis niloticus (Nile tilapia), 1887 nucleotides. RefSeq lists it as uncharacterized. NCBI's taxonomy places the organism in Eukaryota, Metazoa, Chordata, Actinopteri, Cichliformes, Cichlidae. The transcript has 3 exons. The record is from RefSeq and is a predicted model, not a curated record.